GGCGGGACACGUGGUAUCCUGUCUGAAUAUGGGGGGACCAUCCUCCAAGGCUAAAUACUCCUGACUGACCGAUAGUGAACCAGUACCGUGAGGGAAAGGCGAAAAGAACCCCGGCGAGGGGAGUGAAAAAGAACCUGAAACCGUGUACGUACAAGCAGUGGGAGCACGCUUAGGCGUGUGACUGCGUACCUUUUGUAUAAUGGGUCAGCGACUUAUAUUCUGUAGCAAGGUUAACCGAAUAGGGGAGCCGAAGGGAAACCGAGUCUUAACUGGGCGUUAAGUUGCAGGGUAUAGACCCGAAACCCGGUGAUCUAGCCAUGGGCAGGUUGAAGGUUGGGUAACACUAACUGGAGGACCGAACCGACUAAUGUUGAAAAAUUAGCGGAUGACUUGUGGCUGGGGGUGAAAGGCCAAUCAAACCGGGAGAUAGCUGGUUCUCCCCGAAAGCUAUUUAGGUAGCGCCUCGUGAAUUCAUCUCCGGGGGUAGAGCACUGUUUCGGCAAGGGGGUCAUCCCGACUUACCAACCCGAUGCAAACUGCGAAUACCGGAGAAUGUUAUCACGGGAGACACACGGCGGGUGCUAACGUCCGUCGUGAAGAGGGAAACAACCCAGACCGCCAGCUAAGGUCCCAAAGUCAUGGUUAAGUGGGAAACGAUGUGGGAAGGCCCAGACAGCCAGGAUGUUGGCUUAGAAGCAGCCAUCAUUUAAAGAAAGCGUAAUAGCUCACUGGUCGAGUCGGCCUGCGCGGAAGAUGUAACGGGGCUAAACCAUGCACCGAAGCUGCGGCAGCGACGCUUAUGCGUUGUUGGGUAGGGGAGCGUUCUGUAAGCCUGUGAAGGUGUACUGUGAGGUAUGCUGGAGGUAUCAGAAGUGCGAAUGCUGACAUAAGUAACGAUAAAGCGGGUGAAAAGCCCGCUCGCCGGAAGACCAAGGGUUCCUGUCCAACGUUAAUCGGGGCAGGGUGAGUCGACCCCUAAGGCGAGGCCGAAAGGCGUAGUCGAUGGGAAACAGGUUAAUAUUCCUGUACUUGGUGUUACUGCGAAGGGGGGACGGAGAAGGCUAUGUUGGCCGGGCGACGGUUGUCCCGGUUUAAGCGUGUAGGCUGGUUUUCCAGGCAAAUCCGGAAAAUCAAGGCUGAGGCGUGAUGACGAGGCACUACGGUGCUGAAGCAACAAAUGCCCUGCUUCCAGGAAAAGCCUCUAAGCAUCAGGUAACAUCAAAUCGUACCCCAAACCGACACAGGUGGUCAGGUAGAGAAUACCAAGGCGCUUGAGAGAACUCGGGUGAAGGAACUAGGCAAAAUGGUGCCGUAACUUCGGGAGAAGG
RNAcentral lists this ribosomal RNA (1328 nucleotides) under Escherichia coli. RNAcentral's name for it is "partial 23S ribosomal RNA". It matches the Rfam family "Bacterial large subunit ribosomal RNA", at positions 416 to 1746 of the family's 2925-position model. Lineage: Bacteria; Pseudomonadati; Pseudomonadota; Gammaproteobacteria; Enterobacterales; Enterobacteriaceae. The record is from RNAcentral.